Molecule: long non-coding RNA, 2286 nt
Organism: Helianthus annuus (common sunflower)
Lineage: Eukaryota; Viridiplantae; Streptophyta; Magnoliopsida; Asterales; Asteraceae
Exons: 6
Source: RefSeq, a predicted model, not a curated record
CUUAUCUCUUUCAAUUACUUUCAUCUUACUCAUUCAAUUCCCCCUUCUUCCUCAUUCAACUUCUUCUUCAUUCAAGUUCAACGCUGCCUCACCCACUCAAACCAUCGGUUAUGCUAAACCUGCUUAGUCUACAGGUACAUUUGAGCAAAGGCAACCAAACCUAGUAGAGCAACAGCUUCCAUCACGAGCCAAUCACUAAAUCUAGGUGACCUUUUUUGGAAUUUUUUUGUAGAUUUGAUUUUUUUUUUCUUUUGAACUUUGUUUAUUGAUUGUUAUUUGGGGCUGAACUAACAGGGAUUAGUUUAUUUGUUUGCUUGGUUGACCAAUGCACGCCACAAUGUAUGAUAAAAUUUCUAAGUGAGAUAUUACCCUGAAUCUCUAAUGCCUACGUUGUUUUAGAAUGGCUAACGUGUUUAUAAUCAUACUCAGAUUUGUAUGUAUUAUAUGUGGAUUUUUAUUAACAGAUUUUCAAUUUAAUAUCAACAAAUUAGUGUGAGUAAUAUGUUGUGUUCAAAUAAAUCUUGCUUAUUACUACUUUUUAUAAAGAUUUCUUUUUUCCACAGUUUCAACUAGGGGUGCAAAUGAGCCUAGCCCUAACUCGAUUAAGCUCGAUCUCGUUUAACUUAUGAAAACUCGAGCUUGAGCUCAGCUCUUAGGUAGUGUUUCAAGCUCGAGCACGCGCGACUCAGGCUUGGCUUGUUUAUUUGUAUUACCUAUUAGUUAAUUUAUAUUAAUUAUAAUUAUUAUUAUAUAUAAUUUAGUUAUUUUUUUCAUAAUUUUUAAAUAUUAGUUAUUAUUAUUUAAAAUAUAUGUUUAAUAUAUUAAUUAAAAGUUAUAUAAACAGUGAGCUUGUUUAAGCUUGCGAGCCGGAUCAAGCUGGAUAAGCGAAAGCUGGGCUGAGGCUCGUUUACUAAAUGAGUUUGAUUUUAAGCUUGGGCUCGGACUUGAGCUCGUUUAAGCGUGUCCCGAGCUGAGCUCUAGUUGCUCGCGAAUAGCUCGGCUCGUGUAAACCCCUAAUUUCAACCCUUUCAUGGUAAACAUCAUAGCAAUAUGUAAUGACUUCAUUACAUAUUAAUUAGUUUGACAAACAUGAUCUACAAAAAAAAAAAUCACUAGCUUAGUGUUAUGAGUCGAUUAGCCAAUGAGUUGAAUCUGUCACAUAUACAUUAUGUCAGUGAUUUUAUAUUUAACUGUAUUUUUUUAUUUGCAUUGAUAUGGAUGCCUGAAUUGUGCAAGAUACAACACCAACUAUAAGUACUUAACUUUUUUCAAACUAGUCAUUACCAUUUCGGAUCAAACCUUGUUAGAUAUCUCCAGGUUUGUUCCAAUCUAUGUUGGGUGACAUCAAGGCGAUGAUCAGUUAUUUGUAGAAGACUUCAAAAGGCUAAACUUUGGCGACAUUCACUCUAAUUUUCACUCAAAUUUAGUGUUUUUGUCAAUGGUGACUAAGUCAAAGGUUGUUACAUCAAAUGGUAAAAAAGAGUGCCAUUCACGCUGUCCUGUUAUUACAAUCUAUCACAUCUAAUGUUGACGAGUCGUCCGAGCCCGAGCUUGACUAGGCUCGAGCUCGAGCUCGGCUCGCGAGUAAAACCCAAAGCUCAAACUCGGCUUGACUUGACUCGGCUUGAGCUAUUUUUAGAACAUCCCAACUUCAAUAUACGCAAUAAGUUUGAAUAACUGCUAGUUUACUAGAGUGCAUCCAAACUUCAAUAUAUUUUGCUCGAGUCUAACUUAAAAUAUGCAGGACGACAUUGAAAUUAUGGCAGACACAGGUUUAGAAGCUUUUAGAUUUUCCAUCUCUUGGUCCAGACUGAUCCCAAGAAAGACUACAUUGCAUAUGCUGAUGUUUGCUUCAGAGAAUUUGGUGAUUGGGUCUUGCACUGGACUACUUUUAAUGAAGCUGUUGAGAGGAUCAAAUGCGACCAAAACUUUUUACUACAAGGCUGGGUUUGACCCACAAUUUUUGUCAAAACCAAGCGUGGAAGGGAAGGAGGCUGGGUUGUGGAACGGCUUUUGAAUCAGUUAUUGAUAGAGCUAGACCGGAGCUGAUCAACGCAAGGGCGUUUACAUAAUCGGUUCUACCAACAGGCCAGAGGUGAUGGAUCAAGCAGUGUUACGACCCGGAAGGUUUGGGAACAAUUUAAACCACUUAGAUUCUUAAUUUUUCCGUAAUAAUUACUAAUGUACGUUUAGUCUUUUUUUUAAUGCCUACUUAUGCAUAUGAACUAUUGAUGCGUGUUAGUGUGUAUAUUUUUAGGUAUAUAUUUUAAACCCUUUUUAAACUUU